RNAcentral lists this ribosomal RNA (433 nucleotides) under uncultured bacterium. RNAcentral's name for it is "partial 16S ribosomal RNA". It matches the Rfam family "Bacterial small subunit ribosomal RNA", at positions 29 to 507 of the family's 1533-position model. The record is from RNAcentral.
AACGAACGCUGGCGGCAUGCCUAACACAUGCAAGUCGAACGAGACCUUCGGGUCUAGUGGCGCACGGGUGCGUAACGCGUGGGAACCUGCCCUUAGGUUCGGAAUAACUCCCCGAAAGGGGUGCUAAUACCGGAUAAUGUCUUCGGACCAAAGAUUUAUCGCCUUUGGAUGGGCCCGCGUUGGAUUAGCUAGUUGGUGGGGUAAAAGCCUACCAAGGCGACGAUCCAUAGCUGGUCUGAGAGGAUGAUCAGCCACACUGGGACUGAGACACGGCCCAGACUCCUACGGGAGGCAGCAGUGGGGAAUAUUGGACAAUGGGCGAAAGCCUGAUCCAGCAAUGCCGCGUGAGUGAUGAGGGCCUUAGGGUUGUAAAGCUCUUUUACCCGGGAUGAUAAUGACAGUACCGGGAGAAUAAGCUCCGGCUAACUCCGUG